GACGAACGCUGGCGGCGUGCCUAAUACAUGCAAGUAGAACGCUGAAGAGAGGAGCUUGCUCUUCUUGGAUGAGUUGCGAACGGGUGAGUAACGCGUAGGUAACCUGCCUGGUAGCGGGGGAUAACUAUUGGAAACGAUAGCUAAUACCGCAUGAAAUGGAUUAUCGCAUGAUAAUCGAUUGAAAGGUGCAAAUGCAUCACUACCAGAUGGACCUGCGUUGUAUUAGCUAGUUGGUGGGGUAACGGCUCACCAAGGCAACGAUACAUAGCCGACCUGGGAGGGUGAUCGGCCACACUGGGACUGAGACACGGCCCAGACUCCUACGGGAGGCAGCAGUAGGGAAUCUUCGGCAAUGGACGGAAGUCUGACCGAGCAACGCCGCGUGAGUGAAGAAGGUUUUCGGAUCGUAAAGCUCUGUUGUAAGAGAAGAACGAGUGUGAGAGUGGAAAGUUCACACUGUGACGGUAUCUUACCAGAAAGGGACGGCUAACUACGUGCCAGCAGCCGCCGUAA
RNAcentral lists this ribosomal RNA (513 nucleotides) under uncultured bacterium. RNAcentral describes it as "partial 16S ribosomal RNA". It matches the Rfam family "Bacterial small subunit ribosomal RNA", at positions 28 to 523 of the family's 1533-position model. The record is from RNAcentral.